UUAGUAAAAAUGAAUUUUAAUAUUGGAGAGCCAUCUUCUUUUAUAAAUUCGUCUUCUUCUUCAGACUCAUCUGAGUUUGAUGAAUGGCUGAUGAAUGAAAAUGCAUCAACAGAGAGAGAAGAACAAAUUGCAGCAAAUUUGUAUGUCAACAACAACCACCUUCUUCACCAAAUUACUCAAGAAAGCGAUCAUGUAAGUCAUCGAGGCUCUAUUCAUGGUCAUGCAGUUAUACAACGUGAUUGAGAAAAUGCUCAUCUUAAUUUAUUCAAUGAUUAUUUUUCUAAUAAUCAUGUGUAUGGUGAGAGAGAGUUCCAUCGUCGAUUUCGAAUGUCAAAGAAGUUAUUUCUCCACAUUGUUGAUGCUGUUAAACAACAUGACAACUACUUCACCCAACAUCGUCUUGUGACUGAUGAAUACAUCAAAAUAGAAGAGUCUACAGCAAUUGAAUGCAUGAAGAGAUUUUGUCGCGCCAUUGUAGAACUGUUCUCGGAGUGGUAUCUCAGGUCCCAACAUCAGAGGACGUUGCCCGACUUCUCAAUAUCGGCCAACAACGUGGAUUCCCUGGAAUGCUGGGUAGUCUAGAUUGUAUGCAUUGGAAGUGGAAAAAUUGUCCAACUGCAUGGGCAUGACAAUUUGCAGGCCGUAGCGGAUCACCCACAAUAAUUCUUGAAGCUGUGGCAGAUUACGAUCUAUGGAUAUGGCAUGCCUAUUUUGGUAUGCCAGUCAGCAACAACGAUAUUAAUGUUUUGAAUUCAUCUAACUUAUUUUCAAAACUUGCUCAAGGUAUCGCUCCUCCAGCUAAUUACAUUAUUCAGGGACAAGAGUACACCAUGGGUUACUACUUAGCUGAUGGCAUUUAUCCGAAA
Molecule: long non-coding RNA, 866 nt
Organism: Arabidopsis lyrata subsp. lyrata
Lineage: Eukaryota; Viridiplantae; Streptophyta; Magnoliopsida; Brassicales; Brassicaceae
Exons: 2
Source: RefSeq, a predicted model, not a curated record